RNAcentral lists this ribosomal RNA (490 nucleotides) under uncultured bacterium. RNAcentral's name for it is "partial 16S ribosomal RNA". It matches the Rfam family "Bacterial small subunit ribosomal RNA", at positions 30 to 507 of the family's 1533-position model. The record is from RNAcentral.
AUUGAACGCUGGCGGCAGGCCUAACACAUGCAAGUCGAGCGGUAACAGGAAGCAGCUUGCUGCUUUGCUGACGAGUGGCGGACGGGUGAGUAAUGUCUGGGAAACUGCCUGAUGGAGGGGGAUAACUACUGGAAACGGUAGCUAAUACCGCAUAACGUCGCAAGACCAAAGAGGGGGACCUUAGGGCCUCUUGCCAUCGGAUGUGCCCAGAUGGGAUUAGCUAGUAGGUGGGGUAACGGCUCACCUAGGCGACGAUCCCUAGCUGGUCUGAGAGGAUGACCAGCCACACUGGAACUGAGACACGGUCCAGACUCCUACGGGAGGCAGCAGUGGGGAAUAUUGCACAAUGGGCGCAAGCCUGAUGCAGCCAUGCCGCGUGUAUGAAGAAGGCCUUCGGGUUGUAAAGUACUUUCAGCGGGGAGGAAGGGAGUAAAGUUAAUACCUUUGCUCAUUGACGUUACCCGCAGAAGAAGCACCGGCUAACUCCGUG